This 306-nucleotide unclassified non-coding RNA is filed under the name plant metagenome. RNAcentral's name for it is "partial contains 5.8S ribosomal RNA, internal transcribed spacer 2, and large subunit ribosomal RNA". The stretch from base 1 to 105 matches the Rfam family "5.8S ribosomal RNA", at positions 50 to 154 of the family's 154-position model. The record is from RNAcentral.
GAAAUGCGAUAAGUAAUGUGAAUUGCAGAAUUCAGUGAAUCAUCGAAUCUUUGAACGCACAUUGCGCCCGCCAGUAUUCUGGCGGGCAUGCCUGUCCGAGCGUCAUUUCAACCAUCAAGCCCCCGGGCUUGUGUUGGGGACCUGCGGCUGCCCGCAGGCCCUGAAAACCAGUGGCGGGCUCGCUGUCACACCGAGCGUAGUAGCAAUCACCUCGCUCAGGGCGUGCUGCGGGUUCCGGCCGUUAAACAGCCUUACAAAACCCAAGGUUGACCUCGGAUCAGGUAGGAAUACCCGCUGAACUUAAGC